CGAUGAAGAUUGUAGCCAAUUGUGUGAAUUAUUGCGAACUUCAUACUUCUUUGAACAUCGACAUCUUGAACGCCUAUUGCGGCCGUGGCCACGCCUGUCCGAGGGCCC
This 108-nucleotide ribosomal RNA is filed under the name Trichobilharzia regenti. RNAcentral describes it as "5.8S ribosomal RNA". It matches the Rfam family "5.8S ribosomal RNA", at positions 34 to 154 of the family's 154-position model. Rfam says of the family: 5.8S ribosomal RNA (5.8S rRNA) is a component of the large subunit of the eukaryotic ribosome. Lineage: Eukaryota; Metazoa; Platyhelminthes; Trematoda; Strigeidida; Schistosomatidae. The record is from Rfam by way of RNAcentral.